CGCACAACGCAAAUAGGAUUGAUCGGAUCGAGUAACUGGAUUACGACACAUUGCCGGAGACCAAAGGCUCGCGGGGCGGAGUGGGAGGGGAGGGUGUAGAGGUCGGACAAGACAUGGCAAGAUGUUGGGCGGCUAGUCGACGCGUAUUGUGGGCAUAUGGUGCUAUUUUAUAGGAUGAGCUACGGAUCAUAAAACUUUCAUGUUACUCCCUUUUCUAAUAUCUAUGUCUACUUCUUUAUCUAAAAAAUAAUCAGAUCAGAAGUACAGCCCAACGAUUGACGUCCCUUGUCUGCUAUGCAACCACAUGAUUAAUUUCAUGCGUACCACAACUAUGGAGCCAAAACAAACUCGGGGAUAUGCUGGAGUGCUGCUCCCUUCAUAAUGCAUUCUAGUUUUUUGGAAUAAGAUGCACGCCAUUGUUGAUGCCCAGGAUCAUGGCUAGUGCGGCAGAGAACUAGACACGCACGCACACCACGCCCGACACAUUGCACACACACACGACACCCAGCACGCAGACCAUGCCCCGAGACACAUGCAUACACGGACACGAUGUUGGACACGCAUGCUGCUGACCAGCACGCGUGUGCACAAAUGCAUCCCUGCCGGCCCGAGAGAGCCGCUGCAUGCCGCACACGCACAACCACUGUCGCCGCCAGAUCCUUACAAUAGGGGGAAAGACUGAAAAGUGAGAGGAAGAUGGAGACUACCUGAUCCACCGCCGGCGCCCUCAAUCUUCGCUAAUGAACUCGAUGGGCACUGUCCAGUGGAAGAUGGAGAUCCUCGACUCAUGGCUCCUGACGGCUCAUCUGCUGAAGCAACAGCGAGGCAGGCUCAAAAUCAUGGAUGCAGGCGUGACGGCGCGCAUACUGGCCGGAAGAGUGUCCGUGCAGCUGCCGCUCUAUCCGUUCUCGCAUCUGUUUGGGUCGCUGCGGUCGGGCAACCGCCGAUUCGUUCCAUCUCGCAAUCACCUGAGCCGUCACGGCCGCCGCUCCGGUUUCGUGGUCUAUCCUCUCAGCCGUCGCUACAGAGCCAUCUCUCGAUCUCGCUGGUUCAUGGCGAUUUGUAACCUUUAGAAUCGCUGGAAUUCGAAGGGAUUAAUUUAGAUUUAUAGUGCCAUAUAGGGAUUUGUUACAGAGUUGUAUACAAACACGUCAAGCAUGAAUAUUAUUUGUGUGGA
Triticum urartu is the source of this 1177-nucleotide long non-coding RNA. RefSeq lists it as uncharacterized. The record is from RefSeq and is a predicted model, not a curated record. NCBI's taxonomy places the organism in Eukaryota, Viridiplantae, Streptophyta, Magnoliopsida, Poales, Poaceae.